RNAcentral lists this ribosomal RNA (253 nucleotides) under uncultured bacterium. RNAcentral describes it as "partial 16S ribosomal RNA". It matches the Rfam family "Bacterial small subunit ribosomal RNA", at positions 524 to 776 of the family's 1533-position model. The record is from RNAcentral.
GACGUAGGGGGCAAGCGUUGUUCGGAAUUAUUGGGCGUAAAGCGCUCGUAGGCGGGACUGGAAGUCCGUGUUGAAAGACCUCGGCUCAACUGAGGGACCGGCUCGGAUACUCUAGUUCUUGAGGCAAUCAGAGGGUGAUGGAAUUCCCGGUGUAGCGGUGAAAUGCGUAGAUAUCAGGAGGAACACCUGUGGUGUAGACGGCUUUCUGGACCGUAGCUGACGCUGAGACACGAAAGCGUGGGUAGCAAACAGG